AUUGAAGAGUACAAGCAUUAUCAGACACCAGGAGAAAGGUCCUGUGGGGUUCAUUAUGGAGGAUUUAGCAAAGGGUUGGGAGCCAGAAAUUCCUGAGUCCUAAUCCUGGAUUUGCCAUUGAUUCUUUGAAGUGACAUGGAAUUUGGCCUUUGAAACAUGAGGAUCACCUGCAGUCAACUGCAAGCCUUGUUCUUUUGCACUAACUCCAGCUUCACCCAGCACCUUGGGAACACAGUUCCUGGCCCAUACUGCAGUGGGCUCCCCUGUUGGCAGGAGCCCACCCGGGGAUUGGCCGUGGCGUGAUGAGACAGCACGACAGGGUCAGCAUUAACUUACUAUGCAUUACACAUUGCAUGGAGAUGAUGCUAUGGAGAGCAGCCUGGAUAGCCUGAUCCUUGUACAGCUCUCAUGGAAGAAAACUAUGCACACUGCUCACUUCCCCUAAGUCCAGGGAAGUUAACAUUUCCCUGUACUGGGCUGCUGAGCUGGGUUCUUCUGUGUUAUGCCAUACUUGAUUUACAGAAGCAAAGGGGACUAAAAGGGCCCUUGUUUGUUAGC
Long non-coding RNA from Mauremys reevesii (Reeves's turtle), 558 nucleotides. RefSeq lists it as uncharacterized. The record is from RefSeq and is a predicted model, not a curated record. Lineage: Eukaryota; Metazoa; Chordata; Testudines; Geoemydidae. The transcript has 3 exons.